AAAAAGUGUAAUAAGGAGUUGUUAAGAGAAGACACAGGCAAAAACGAAAUUGAGAGCUUCGCUGUCGUUGAUAUCCUCUUCACUAAGAACUCAACAUCUGCUAUAAAUUGCAGUCCUUCCUCUCAGAAUUUCCAUUCAACUUCUGAGUUCCCCUCAUUCCUUAUGUAUUCUUUUUUUAGCAACAAAAAAGCAACCGUAAGUGUGAUUUGCUACCAAACUUUGUGUUCGCUGAAACACUUGGGUUUGAAGUACCGCUACACCAGUGUACAAUACAUUCUAUCCUGGGAGGAAAUAAUCCAUAACCUUGGGUACUAGGAUGUGGUUAAAUUUCUUACGGAAUCAAUGUGAAUCUAGUGGGCUCAAAUUAAUUACUUUUUCGUUUAUAUUAAUAUUUUAUACACUUUGUUUUCUCUAGAAUUAUUAUUUACAAAUAGAGCAAGAAGAUACAGCCAACAAACUUAAGGAACUUAAUCUUUUGUAUUUAUGGCGAACUUACAGUUCUGAAGACUAAAACCUUUAUGGUUUCGUCU
Molecule: long non-coding RNA, 530 nt
Filed under: Nicotiana benthamiana
Lineage: Eukaryota; Viridiplantae; Streptophyta; Magnoliopsida; Solanales; Solanaceae
Description: long non-coding RNA (NBEN_LNC019676)
Source: RNAcentral